This 301-nucleotide long non-coding RNA is filed under the name Setaria viridis. Its description in RNAcentral is "long non-coding RNA (SVIR_LNC007644)". The record is from RNAcentral. Lineage: Eukaryota; Viridiplantae; Streptophyta; Magnoliopsida; Poales; Poaceae.
UGGGCACAGAUGAGUCCAACCCGCUACGUUCGGGGUCGGGCGAGGCGGAGCCUUGCGGUGAAGGGUCGGGCGCACCCGACCCUGGGAUCGUGGGUCGGGCGAGGCGGAGUUUCGCCAUCGAGGGGUCGGGCGUGUCCGACCCCGGGGCCCUGGGUCGGGUGAGACGGAGUGGGAUGCUCCUUGCCCACGCCGGGUCGGCGGUGAUCGUUAUUACCGCAGGUGGGCCUGGGCCUUUAUGAUUGUUGUUUUAAGGGGCAUAAGGAGGUCAUUAAUAUUUUCCCCCAACAAAAACCAAUUUCAC